Molecule: ribosomal RNA, 458 nt
Filed under: uncultured organism
Description: bacterial SSU rRNA
Rfam family: Bacterial small subunit ribosomal RNA
Source: RNAcentral
GAUAAACGCUGGCGGCGUGCAUGAGACAUGCAAGUCGAACGAAGGAUCGGGCUUGCUCGAUCCUUAGUGGCGGACGGCUGAGUAACGCGUAGGUGACCUGCCCCGAAGUGGGGAAUAACUGCCCGAAAGGGUGGCUAAUACCGCAUGUGGUCGCACGUUCAUUCGUGCGAGUAAAGCCGCAAGGCGCUUCGGGAGGGGCCUGCGUCCGAUUAGCUCGUUGGUGGGGUAAUGGCUUACCAAGGCGACGAUCGGUAGGUGGUCUGAGAGGACGAUCACCCAGACUGGGACUGAGACACGGCCCAGACUCCUACGGGAGGCAGCAGUCGGGAAUUUUGCUCAAUGGGGGAAACCCUGAAGCAGCAACGCCGCGUGAGGGAUGAAGGCCUUCGGGUUGUAAACCUCUUUUGUCAGGGACGAUAAUGACGGUACCUGGCGAAUAAGCCACGGCUAACUACGUG